AGUGAACGCUGGCGGUAGGCCUAACACAUGCAAGUCGAACGGCAGCACAGUAAGAGCUUGCUCUUACGGGUGGCGAGUGGCGGACGGGUGAGGAAUACAUCGGAAUCUACUUUUUCGUGGGGGAUAACGUAGGGAAACUUACGCUAAUACCGCAUACGACCUACGGGUGAAAGCAGGGGAUCUUCGGACCUUGCGCGAUUGAAUGAGCCGAUGUCGGAUUAGCUAGUUGGCGGGGUAAAGGCCCACCAAGGCGACGAUCCGUAGCUGGUCUGAGAGGAUGAUUCGCCAAACUGUAACUGGGACAAGGUCCAAGAACCUACGGGAGGCAGCAGUGGGGAAUAUUGGACAAUGGGCGCAAGCCUGAUCCAGCCAUACCGCGUGGGUGAAGAAGGCCUUCGGGUUGUAAAGCCCUUUUGUUGGGAAAGAAAAGCAGCAGGUUAAUACCCCGCUGUUCUGACGGUACCCAAAGAAUAAGCACCGGCUAACUUCGUG
RNAcentral lists this ribosomal RNA (492 nucleotides) under uncultured bacterium. RNAcentral describes it as "partial 16S ribosomal RNA". It matches the Rfam family "Bacterial small subunit ribosomal RNA", at positions 29 to 507 of the family's 1533-position model. The record is from RNAcentral.